Molecule: ribosomal RNA, 492 nt
Filed under: uncultured bacterium
Lineage: Bacteria
Description: partial 16S ribosomal RNA
Rfam family: Bacterial small subunit ribosomal RNA
Source: RNAcentral
AGUGAACGCUGGCGGUAGGCCUAACACAUGCAAGUCGAACGGCAGCACAGUAAGAGCUUGCUCUUACGGGUGGCGGGUGGCGGACGGGUGAGGAAUACAUCGGAAUCUACUUUUUCGGGGGGGAUAACGGAGGGAAACUGACGCUAAUACCUCAAACCACCUACGGGUGGAAGCAGGGGAUAUACGUACAUUGCCAGAUUGAAUGAGCCGAUGUCUGAUUAGCUAGUUGGCGGGGGAAAGGCCAACCAAGGCAACGAUCCGUAGCUGGUCUGAGAGGAUGGUCAGCCACACUGGAACUGAGACACGCCCCAGACUCCUACGGGAGGCGGAAUUGGGGAACAUUGGACAAGGGGCGAAAUCCUGCCGCAGACAUACCGCUUGGUUGAAGAAGUCCUUCGGGUGUUAAACCCCUUUUGUUGGGAAAGACAAGCAGCAGGUUAAUACCCCGAUGUUCUGACGGUACCCAACGAAUAAGCACCGGCUAACUUCGUG